CAUGCCGCGUGUGUGAUGAAGGCCUUUUGGUUGUAAAGCACUUUAAGCAGUGAAGAAGACUCUUCGGUUAAUACCCGGGGACGAUGACAUUAGCUGCAGAAUAAGCACCGGCUAACGUUCUGUGCCAGCAGCCGCGGUCAUACAGAGGGUGCAAGCGUUAUAUCGGAAUUACUGGGCGUAAAGCGAGCGUAGGUGGCUUGAUAAGUCAGAUGUGAAAUCCCCGGGCUUAACCUGGUGAACUGCAUCUGAAACUGUUAGGCUAGAGUAGGAGAGAGGGAAGUUGAAUUUCAGGAGUAGCGGUGAAAUGCGUUGAGAUUGAAGGAAUACCGAAGGCGAAGGCAGCUUCCUGGCAUCAUACUGACACUGAGGCUCGAAAGCGUGGGUAGCAAACAGGAUUAGAUACCCUCAUAGUCCACGCCGUUAACGAAGUCAACUA
This 436-nucleotide ribosomal RNA is filed under the name uncultured marine bacterium. RNAcentral describes it as "bacterial SSU rRNA". It matches the Rfam family "Bacterial small subunit ribosomal RNA", at positions 393 to 818 of the family's 1533-position model. The record is from RNAcentral.